Long non-coding RNA from Aedes albopictus (Asian tiger mosquito), 1577 nucleotides. RefSeq lists it as uncharacterized. Lineage: Eukaryota; Metazoa; Arthropoda; Insecta; Diptera; Culicidae. The record is from RefSeq and is a predicted model, not a curated record. The transcript has 2 exons.
GUUCUUCACUUCAUACUUGGAUGAGUAAUGAGAAACAACUAGCAAAAUGUCUCAUCAGCUUCAUGCGAAUCAGCAGCAAAACAUAACUGAAGUGUUUACGUUGGAAUCGUUCUCGUCACUGGAGGAACGAUAUCGAAGGAGAAUACUAUAGGAGCCGAUUAUUUUUCCGACCGUACAUUGGAAGAGUGCCAAAUCGUAUGAAACAUCGAGCUAUAGAAGAUGCAGUUUAGAGUGACAGUGGCCAGCUACUUACAGCUACCUUUCGUAGUGGAAUCGAGCACUAUGAUACGAGAAGGAAUAAUCUGCUGCGCAAGGCAGGAGAUUUCCAUCGCAGUAGAUGAUCAGUCCAGUCAACCGUGCACUGGAGCUGCGAUGGAAUAUUCCGAAAACGGUCAUGCAACAUUCUUCAGCGCAAGGCUGGAGAAGUCGUUACGGGGAAGCUCAGCAGUCCAGCGAGAGGAAAUCGCUGGAACCGUGACGACGAUGCGACAGACCGUUGAAAUACGUUCAACAGAGCUAUGGAGAUCCAUCGUUUGGAGCAGUGUGUAGAAUACCGCCAGCAUUUUGAAGAUGUUCAUUCAGGACUAAUUCAAGGGCGGUUCCAGCAACAAGGCAUCGUCAGCUUGUCCCGGAGCUCAUGCUCCGGGGCACAGAUAAGUUUCGGCAUUCCAAUUCCCUAACCGCAGUUUUCAACAUCUAAUGCGCACAUUUGCUCUACAGGCGUACAGACGAACAAGCGACUUAAUUUGAGAGGACAGGCUCCACAAAGUACCGACGCAGAAUGGCAAUAAUGGUGCAGCGUAGUCAGUGCAGUUCAUCAAACCAGCAACAGCAACAGUUCAGCGCUUCCAGCAGGAAUGGGUUGUCGCUGCCUCCCAGAGUAUCCGCCCUUGUAUCCGCCUUGGGAUACAAAUCUGUUCACCGCACGAGAGAGUCGGCAGUUACAACGACGAGAAUCUCCGAACGGAAGCAACCAACCGUAUCCAGUACAGCAGGGAACAACUAAAUCAGAGGAUGGAGUGGUUUGAACGAAAGAAUACCGUAGACAAGUUCAUUCGAGAACUCAAAAAGAAAUAAUCCCGAGAAGAGCUUAUUAAUAUAUCAGAAGAGCUGAAAACAGAAUAGUAUUCAUUGUUGAAUAGCUACGCCUUUCAAGAGGAGCGGUAUGUUUAUGCCAAUUUAAGCCAAAAUUUAUAGUGUGCUAAUCCCAUUAUUACAAUCGAGCAGUUACAAUCUAAUUAUAUUGCAUUUGGAAUUCUUAUAGGAUCAAAUAGGGAAAGAAAUCAGGGAUAAUAACCAUUUUAUAGAGCUUCGGAGAACUUCGGAUCUCCCGCCAAAUAGUGGCACUAUUCCUAGACUAUAAAAGCCCCCUUGACGCAUUCAUUAGAGCAGUAAUCAGUAAAUUAGCGUGCAUCUUGACUACAAACAUAAAUGUACUAUGUCAUAAAGCGACAAUUACAUACCGUUCGAUAAUAAAAUCUGUGUUUCGUGUUCAAAUAGACAUUGUAUCUUGUCCGUGUAUCCUUGUAGAAGUUACCCAGGGUUCUGUGGCCAACCUGUUCAGUAUUCGUGGCAAG